Molecule: small nucleolar RNA, 138 nt
Filed under: Ornithorhynchus anatinus (platypus)
Lineage: Eukaryota; Metazoa; Chordata; Mammalia; Monotremata; Ornithorhynchidae
Source: RNAcentral
CGCCUCUCAGGGUCGCACCUGGAGAGUUUCCAGUCCUCUACCAGUUUUGACUACGGAAGGGAGAGUCAAGCAGAGGCAUAUCCAUUCCAUUCCUAGCUUGGGCAGUGGCUAGAGCGUGGAGAGCAAUCUGCUACAAAU